GCCUGGGUGGCUCAGUUGGUUAAGCGUCUGACUUGGGCUCAGGUCAUGAUCUCAUGGUUUGUGAGUUCGAGCCCCGCAUCGGGCU
RNAcentral lists this transfer RNA (85 nucleotides) under Felis catus (domestic cat). It matches the Rfam family "tRNA". Rfam says of the family: Transfer RNA (tRNA) molecules are approximately 80 nucleotides in length. Lineage: Eukaryota; Metazoa; Chordata; Mammalia; Carnivora; Felidae. The record is from Rfam by way of RNAcentral. RNAcentral also lists the same sequence under 3 other names.